RNAcentral lists this ribosomal RNA (262 nucleotides) under uncultured bacterium. RNAcentral's name for it is "partial 16S ribosomal RNA". It matches the Rfam family "Bacterial small subunit ribosomal RNA", at positions 793 to 1050 of the family's 1533-position model. The record is from RNAcentral.
GUCCACGCCCUAAACGAUGCACACUAAUUAUUGCGGUGCUAGUCACUGCAGUAAUGCAGCUAACGCAUUAAGUGUGCCGCCUGGGGAGUACGGUCGCAAGAUUAAAACUCAAAGGAAUAGACGGGGACCCGCACAAGCGGUGGAGCAUGUGGUUUAAUUCGACGAUACGCGAAGAACCUUACCUAGCCUUGACAUUGAUAGAAUCUAAUAGAAAUAUUGGAGUGCUUGCUUGCAAGAACUUGAAAACAGGUGUUGCAUGGCU